RNAcentral lists this ribosomal RNA (642 nucleotides) under Psychrobacter sp. RNAcentral describes it as "bacterial SSU rRNA". It matches the Rfam family "Bacterial small subunit ribosomal RNA", at positions 75 to 717 of the family's 1533-position model. Lineage: Bacteria; Pseudomonadati; Pseudomonadota; Gammaproteobacteria; Moraxellales; Moraxellaceae. The record is from RNAcentral.
CUUGCUAUCAGGCGUCGAGCGGCGGACGGGUGAGUAAUACUUAGGAAUCUACCUAGUAGUGGGGGAUAGCACGGGGAAACUCGUAUUAAUACCGCAUACGACCUACGGGAGAAAGGGGGCAGUUUACUGCUCUCGCUAUUAGAUGAGCCUAAGUCGGAUUAGCUAGAUGGUGGGGUAAAGGCCUACCAUGGCGACGAUCUGUAGCUGGUCUGAGAGGAUGAUCAGCCACACCGGGACUGAGACACGGCCCGGACUCCUACGGGAGGCAGCAGUGGGGAAUAUUGGACAAUGGGGGAAACCCUGAUCCAGCCAUGCCGCGUGUGUGAAGAAGGCCUUUUGGUUGUAAAGCACUUUAAGCAGUGAAGAAGACCAUACGGUUAAUACCCGUAUGCGAUGACAUUAGCUGCAGAAUAAGCACCGGCUAACUCUGUGCCAGCAGCCGCGGUAAUACAGAGGGUGCAAGCGUUAAUCGGAAUUACUGGGCGUAAAGCGAGCGUAGGUGGCUUGAUAAGUCAGAUGUGAAAUCCCCGGGCUUAACCUGGGAACUGCAUCUGAAACUGUUAAGCUAGAGUAGGUGAGAGGGAAGUAGAAUUUCAGGUGUAGCGGUGAAAUGCGUAGAGAUCUGAAGGAAUACCGAUGGCG